Molecule: microRNA, 21 nt
Filed under: Chrysemys picta (Painted turtle)
Lineage: Eukaryota; Metazoa; Chordata; Testudines; Emydidae
Description: cpi-miR-1677e-5p
Source: miRBase by way of RNAcentral
UCUGAUCCAAACCCAUUGAAA